AGAACGAGCCAAAACAAAAUCGCUGCGCAAAGCUGUCAGGAGUUCUGUUUCGUCACGCGGGCCAGCCAUGCGGCCGCGCGACGUGGCCGCGCGAGUCGCCGUAUUUCCGCCCAAAAUUCGUUUUUUUAGCGAUUUUGGGUAUUUUUGAGAGCUACAAGACCUAGGGCAUAUAAAUACUCCCCAAGAACUUAUUCUCUGAGCUUUUAUCACCUUUUAUCAGCUUAUAUCAUAUUUUACUUUUCCUGAGAGCUGAGAGAGACGGAGAACGGAGACAGAGCAAGAUUGAAGAUUCUCAAUUUCAAUACGGUUUUUCUUGUUGGAUGUUUAUUUGUUUUAUUGAGAAUUGUAUUCUAGUUCAUAUGUCUAUGUGUGGCUAGAAUCCCUUUUUCCCAGGGUUUAGGGAGUAGACAUGAUUUGAAUUUC
This 423-nucleotide long non-coding RNA is filed under the name Salvia miltiorrhiza (redroot sage). RNAcentral describes it as "long non-coding RNA (SMIL_LNC003883)". The record is from RNAcentral. Lineage: Eukaryota; Viridiplantae; Streptophyta; Magnoliopsida; Lamiales; Lamiaceae.